This 27058-nucleotide long non-coding RNA is filed under the name Musa acuminata (dwarf banana). RNAcentral's name for it is "long non-coding RNA (MACU_LNC000776)". The record is from RNAcentral. Lineage: Eukaryota; Viridiplantae; Streptophyta; Magnoliopsida; Zingiberales; Musaceae.
UCGAACCGCUGGUGCCGAUUUAAUAGUGUGCUCUUGCUAUUGGUGUGAACAAAGAGGGUAGUUUCGGCAUAGUGGCUCUUUAAAACGAUCGAUGACGGGAGGAUGACGCGAGAGAGCUCUGAAGAUUCUGAGUUGGGCUUGUGGUGUUUUGGGUCGACGAGGGAGAUGUUGGCGGUGUUCGAUCGGAAGGUCGCGAAGUGCCCGGAGGGGCUGAGGAGCCCGGGGGCGGAGGGGGGCGACGGGGGACGCAGCAUGUUGGAUCACUUCCUGGCGGCGCGAGCGGGGGCGGUGGCCAUCAACCUUGGCUCUUCUGGGGGCUUGGCUUACACGUCGAAGAAGCAGACUCCUCUGCUUCCGAGGUAACUGUAAUACAACCAAAAUCAAAUCUUGAUGAACGGCGAGGUGAUACAUUCGAACAAAAGCUUCGAGCAAGCUGUCGAAUCCCUUGUUCGAACAUCCCAUUCCGUGAGGUUUUAACAGUCUUCCAGUCUUCCGAUAUGUUCUUUUUGUGGAUAAUUAUAUGAUAAUUACCUUCAAUUUUGUUCUUCUUUCCUGUUUUGGGUGUGUGUAAGCAUUAAUUCUUUAUACGACCAAUUAAUUCGCAUGGAAGCUUCAUAUAAUCAUGUUUCGACGCAGGAUUCAUUUCAAAUGGUCAUCUUGGUAAAGGAUGAUUUCGUUCGUCUGAUCUGUUUGUUCUUAAAGCAUCGGAAUCUUCUGGCAAAUGCCCUUCGUACUCAAAACUACACCGUGUGAAUUGGAUUUGUUGUGAAUGAUCCUACUGGUAGACGCGUCCAGUAUUUCUUGCUAAUUUUGAGGUCAAAUUAGCUUCUCAGACAUAGAUAUGGCUCAUGGGAUUGUUGGUGUAAAUGUGACGGAUGCAUCAAAAGGGUUACUAACCAUUAGAAUUAAUUUUCUUUUAUUAAAUUGAUCAUCAAGGUUUACUAGUAAAUCUAUUUCCGGAAUACAUUUGUAUUUUUCUUUAUUGUCUUCUGGUAGGCAAUUUAUCCAAUGAGAAAGGGUUAUAAUCUUCUUGGCCUUUGUCUUUGUUACUUAACAUCGAGAGAUUACUGAACUUAUCAUUGAUUUCCUGGAAUUAGUUUAAUGUUGCCACCUCCAUGGAAGUUAUCUUCUUUUGAUUGUUGCAUGGUGCCACUUAUAUUUUAUAAUGCUGAUGCUGCUUUAGUGUAGAAGGUAAGCCAAUCUCUACCCCUGGUAGAGGCAGAGAUAAGGUUGUGCACAUUGAUCCUCCCUGGAUUGUGUACAUCAAUCCUCCCUAGACCGUGGACUGUUAGAAAGAUCGUCGCAACAGGUUGUUUUUUUCUUUAUGCUGCCUUGUCCAUUUGGAUAACUUGAUAGACCAGAAUAAUGGGAACUUGAUAAAGGAGAGAAUCUAUUUUUUUGGUCAUGUAACAAAUGAGAGAAAUGGCGAGAAUUGAUUUCUUUCCAAACCCUCCUUUCUUUGCAAGUGGAGGAUGAUGUGAUAGAAUAAAAUCUUUUAAGUGAUUCUUUAUCUCCAGAGAGGAAGAGGUUUAUUGCCCUUAGCUUUUCCACUUUUCAUCUCUGCUGUGAUUACUCUUUCAUCCUCUACUCUUUUAAUUACUAAAAUUGGGGUGCACAGGAUGCUGGUGCAUCAAUAGCUAUGUUGCAUUGAUAGCUUCGAUAACUAUUUAAGUAAACUCUACAAAAAUUAUUACCGGCAAAAUGUAUUUUUGUGUCAAAUUAAGGCACAUGUGUACAUGAUCAGAUGAUGGUGCUGAUGCAUUCCCAAAACCAUUUUGACUCAAUAGUUGGAUAAUUUAAUUAUCCUUUGCGAAAUACUGCAAGGAUAAAUGGAAAUUGCAUCUCAAAAUCAUGAUCUUCUCUUCUUUCUUUUUUUUCCAUUUAAUUUUUUUCUCGUGCUUAUAUGUCAUGUUGGUGGAGAUGCUGGCUAGUAGUUACUAUUUUCUCCUCUUUCAUGCUUGAAAGGUUGAACAGAAAUGUGUGUAACUUCAAUUUCACCUAUCAUAGUUUCAUCUUUCCUAAUAAUUCUGCCAUUAACGAUGGUGGUAGUCUGCUAGUAUAAUAAUUCUUACUACUUUUAAAAAAAAAUCCUUUAUUUUAAUUUUUGUCAUUCUUUGUAUCCAAAUAAUCUUUUUGCUUUAAUGCCUUCAUAAAGCUCUUACUUAUAGUAAACUUUGCAAGUUCUGCUUUUCUCCACCUUCCUGGUUGCAUCUAGAACCUCUUUUGUUAUGAAAAAACAUUUUUAGCUUAAAGGAACAAGAUCUAGCAGAAUCAGUUUUAUGUUUCUUAGUUAUUUAGCAUGCAACAGAAUGGUAAUAUUCUUGGUGGUUCUUUUGCAGAUUAUUCGCUGUGGUGGAUGAUAUAUUUUGCUUAUUCCAAGGGCAUAUCCAGAAUAUAACUUCUCUCAAGCAACAGUAUGGAUUAGGCAAGACUGCUAAUGAAGUAAUUAUUGUCAUUGAGGCGUAUAAAACACUGAGAGAUAGAGGACCAUUCCCUGCAAGUCAAGUUCUGAGAGAUCUAAAUGGAAAAUUUGCUUUCAUUCUGUUUGAUAGCUCAUCAAACACUACCUUCAUGGCCAGCGUGAGUAUUCAAAUUAAUUAUCCUCUCCUGCUUUCUAUUUCUUUGUUUUUCAAGAAUGAAAAUUAUAUAGCGCAUACUGUGCCACUGGAUAACAACACAAUCUUUCUAUUGGGCACAUGAUGCCUUCACAGACUUGAACAAUGAAACUUCAACUUUUCAACAGCUUUAAAUUUCUCCAGUAGUUUGUCUUUGGCUACUUCUCUAUUACUUUACUCAAGCAAUUUCGCUUCUUGGCUCCCACCUUCUCCUUUUUUCCUUGUCUUUGACCAUGUGAAGAGGGGCACUCCCUUGUGACUCUUGCUUUUCUGAUUUUUUGCACUUACCAACUUUGUGUUUCAAUCUGUAGUGAGAAACAUUCCCUAGCAACCUAUGUUUCCUCGUUUCAUUUUUGUGCACUUCCCAACAUUAUAUUUCAAGCUGUGGUGAAUUUUGAGUUUGGGAGCUCAUACUUUCUCUUUCAGACCAAGUAGUUUUGUGGAAAGUUUGAGGAACUUCAUGUUUGUGUGAAAUAAUGCUCCAGAGAUUCUCAUGUUGACAAAGUUUCCCUUUUGUGCGGUGAAUGACAAUUGAAUUUUCAAAACCCGCACUUUUGUGCAUAUGAGCCCAAAAUUUGAACAAAAUAGUGAAGUUGCAUAGAUGUAUUGCCUAGGUUAGGGCACCCAUGGCUUUAUGCAUCCUCAGAUAGUCCAUGUGCCUUUCUCAGUUACAUGUGUAUUUCUCUUCUGUUCUUCACAUGUGUUCUCUGACAUCUCAUGACACUUGAGCUCUAAAUGGAAAUAUCACAUACCUUUUCUCCUCGGAUCACGUUAUGUUAUAUCUUCUAAAAGAACUCUCAAUAAGAGAAUUAAGAGUAUUUACUAUGCCCAUAAUUUUGAUUAAGCAUCAAUUACUUGAUACAUCGGAAAUAAGAGCACCUGGAUCUCAGAUGCUUAACAAUAGCAUUUAGUGUUUUGGUCUUUUUGAUACUGAUGAGGCGAUGACUAAAAUUGGCAAUGCAGUGACAUGUAAAUUCUUAUAAUUGUAAGAUGCAAGCAGCUUAUGCAUAGGUUGGUUUAGUUUGUCAUAAUUUCAAGUGGAAUGUCACUGAAUCUGGAUGUCUCUUUCUGGACUCAGGAUGCUGAUGGGAGUGUUCCCUUCUUCUGGGGAGCUGAUGCACAAGACCAUCUUGUACUUUCCGAUGAUGCGGACAUUGUCAAGAAGGGUUGUGGAAAAUCAUUUGCACCUUUUCCUAAAGGUACAAAAUAUUUGAGAAUGUCAUCUACCAUUCAGCAUACUGUUGUAUCCAUGAUCUUUCGUGCAUAUCCUCAUUUUCCAUUUCCUGGCAGGCUGCUUCUUUACGACAUCUGGGGGAUUGCAGAGUUUUGAGCAUCCUAUGAACGAACUUAAGCCGAUGCCAAGAGUUGACAGCCAAGGCCAGGUCUGUGGUGCUACGUACAACGUUGACUACAUGGCUAAGAAGGAUGCCGGGAUGCCCAGAGUCGGCAGUUCUGCAAAUUGGUCUUCCCAAUUUUAACACUGCAAGCAAUUGCAUGCUGCCUUUGUUGUUUCUCCCUACAUAUAUUAACCAUGUCUUUUUUUCCAUUUGAUGUAUCCAUGCUUCACCUUGGUGAUUGUGCACAUCUUUGCAAGAAUGUUUAUGCUCUUGCCAAAGACCUUGCUAUAGCAUAAAGCAUCAUACCUAUGUUUGGAUCCCUGAACCUUUUAUGUAGCAGUGAUAAAUCUCCCACUUGUAUGUGGCAAAUAAAAGUUCUUUUUACUUCUUUUGAUCAAUGAUGUAAUUUUUAUAUAUUGCUUUUGCUUGAUUUCAUCUUAGUUUGAAAGGAUUACUUCCAGCAAAUCCUCAGAGAAAGUUAUAUAUAGUAUGAUGCAUGCAGCUUGAAGCAACAGAGGAAUGAGACAUCACUGCAGCCUUUAAACAAGGAAGGAGGCAGUUGAAUAUCAACACUGGCCAUCAAGAAUUUUAUUUUCAUGAUGAAGAUAUUAUUUGAAGGUUUGAGAUGAACUGAUACCACUACCAAAAUAACAGUAUUCUAAUUUUUUCUUUUUUCAGAAGAAAAGGUUGCUCUCAAAUAUCUUUUUUCUGUCAAAAUCUAUGCCGGCUUUUUCUCUCACACAUCUGAAAAUUCUAUCAGGACUUGCUGUGUUCUUUGAACUCAUUGGCAACUUCUAAAUGGUAGGCAUGUUUCCAAGAUCCCUUUGCCAGUGUCAUAAGAAUUUAUGUAAAUUGAUCAAGCCUUAUACAUUUACUCCUUCGCUCUCUUUAAUUCUCUCCAGGAAGCCUGAUCAUACUUUUAUGGUAGUAAUUAAAGAGAGACAAAAUGGUUUAUUGAUGAACUUAGCAGAUCAAAAGUUUACCUGAGAUAUGAAUGCUUGCUGCUCUCUUUUUAUAUGAUUAUCGCACUACAUCUACUUAGAAAUGUCAAAAUAUCUUUGAAUCGAAAACAAAUUACUCCUGUAAAUCAAAUUAAUCCUCAUAUUAUCACUAUUAUCAUACCCUCCUCAAAUUCCUGCAUCGACGGAUCUCAUGCGCUGGAUACGUCCUUUACCGUCUCUAUUGUUACACCUCGAAAGCAUCCAAUGUUAGCUCACACUAGUAUGGUGGUGUCCUCCUCUUCUGUUCUCCUCACGCAACAAAAGCUCUCUUACGCCCAUCACCUCCCUCCACCGGAUACUCUUUGAACCUCCUUUGUUUCUUCUCUCGCUCUUCUUCCUCGUAUUAACCCUUAAGAGCUUCUUUCUUUCUCUCUCAAGCACGAUGGAAGCUAAUAUUCUUCGUUGUGGGGGGAUUAAGAGGCUUCCUCCGAUAAGCAGAAGACCACAAGGGAUGGAGUUAGGCCAUCGGAUGCCACCCCGAAAGCUCCUGUCUUCUGUAGUUGAAGCGAGGGUGCAGACCGAGGAGAAGAUGGUGGCAGCCACAGAGAAGACGACGUACAAAGACAACUGGUUCGACCGACUUGCCAUCCGCUACCUUUCAAGAUCUCUUCAAGCCACCACAGGUUCGUCAUGGUGCUUACAGACAGACUAACUAUGCUGAUCAUGGCGCUUACACUUCUUCUUCUUCUUGUUUCGACAAGCCAUAGUUACUCACAGAAAGCAACUAAAAGAAACAUAACAGUAAUGGUUGCAAAAUGCUAGACGUAGAUAUCAACUCUACCUACAUAUUAGACAUGCAGAUUAGGUAAAGUAAUUCCCACCAAUACUGAUCAGACCAUUAGCAAUGGAGGAAAAGAAAAGAGAGCUAGAAAUGAAUAUGUUUCUCUAUUUCAUCAAAACUACAGCUACAAAAUACACCUUUUGGACAACAUGUCACGACAGAAAAAAAAUCGUAGCAAUGCAUAAACAUCUUGGAACAUUUGUUUCCAGAAAAGUUGCAUACUUGUUUUGUUGCUGUGUUUUGUUGGAUUUAAGAUAGAGAAAGGUGUGACAGUGUUUUCUGCUGUUGGCUUGUAGAGUGCAGUUUGUGUCUCUUUUCAUUUUCUUUCUUUAAAGCAGAACAUGAAGAUAGCUGAUUUGACUCACAGGCAUAAGCAACAACAAGGAAGGAUAUGAGAGCUUGGUUGAGGCAGCAAUCAUGAUCUGCAAGAAAGUUGAUGCCAAAGCACAGCAGGAUCUGGUGAUCCAAUCUCUCCACAGCGCCCUUCCAGUGAUCAUAUUAACAAUGGCAAGUUACUCUUCGACCUUCUUCAUCAUGGUUCUGAGAAAUAAAAUUUCCAACAUAAAUGUGUGUAUUUUUCUCCGACAUUUGAUCUGGACUGUUGGAUGGUAAACCAAUGGACUGAUACUCUUGAUCAACUAAUUAAUUGGAGCAAAUUAUUGGAGAAUAAAGAGUUACCCUAUAGAAUCAUAGGACAUUAACUGAAACCAUGCCCUUGACAUGCUUCAUAUAUCUUCAGAGAGACUCUCAAUUCUGUAAACCCUGUUAGAGAUGCAGAAACAACAUGCCAAUAAGAAACAUGAGACAGAAGAAAUCCAACGUUUCCUGCUUGUGAUAGUUCACAUCACAGCACAUUUGCUAGAUGCAUGUUUUCUCCGAGCACUAGAUUGCUAAUGGAAUUUUGGCAUCAACAUGUCAGAUAAAGAUCUUACUUCCACAGUCAACAUUCACAAGAGAGAUCUUUGCAGCCUUCACCACUCUGUUCUUCCCUUGGCUGGUUGGCCCUUGCCAGGUAUGGGCUUUCUUACUGCACCCUCUUCCUUAAUGAUUUUUAUCUGUAAGCAGAUCUUAUAAAUUCAUCCUUAAAUUCACAUUGACAUCUGAGAAUAAAAAAGACCCUGGAUUAGUAAGCAUUUGAAUGCAUCGAUCUGAAGUGACAUUUCAAUUUGCCAAGGAAGGUCAGGAAAUCAGAAGUCAAAGGAAAGACAGAGAAGAAUGUGGUGUACAUCCCUAAAUGCAGGUACUCUUUGAUCCCUUGUUCAUAUCUCAGACAACGAAAAACAAGAAAUGAAAAGAUUAUGCAAUUAUAUACGGUAGAAUUCAUACAUCUCAUCUGUUCAUUGUUAAGACUUUGUGAAGUUUUGCUUCUGCCAUGCAGGUUUCUGGAGAGCACCAACUGUGUAGGGAUGUGCACAAACUUGUGCAAGGUCCCCUCCCAGAAGUUCAUCCAGGAUUCACUCGGCAUGCCUGUCUACAUGGUUCCAAGUAUGAGUCUUACUCUAUCACUCUCGGACAACCCUUCAAAAUUGCAUAUCAUAUAUACCAGACGAUUGUCUUCCCUCGGAUACUUGUACUCGCUAUGGGAGGACAAGUAGGCCACAUCGACAGUAGAUUGCACCAUCUUUUACGAACAGUGGAUGCACCAUCCCUGAAGGAAGAAAAGGGAGGAGGAGGGGUGGGAGAUUGCACCAUGUUUCCGUGAGUUGAGGUCCACAGAGCAACCAUUUAGGGAACAAGAAAAAUAGAACGAGAUCCACAAUGGGAGUAUAAAAUGCUUUGCGUCACCUUUUCCCUCAAUGUUUCAGAGCGAAGAGCUCCCCUGUCUGCAGUCAGCCAUUGUCGUGCUCCAUGCUCUUCCAUUCAUUCUAGUGUCCGAGAAGAAACAUCGUUCCCUCAUUUGCCAUCACAUUCCAUGAGACAUCUACACUUGCACCGUCAAGUCUCACUCACGACAAGCACUGGCUUGUUCAAGUUGAGCAUUGAGCUCCAGUAGAUGCUGCACAAGCAGCAACUGAUAUUUUCGAGUAAUAUGUUUAUUUUCUAUAGAUUUACAAGAUACAAGUGAUCUAAAUCAAAUGGUUACGAUUGCUGAAUCCCAGAUUUUGAAGACCUGAGCUGCGAGAUGGUCUUUGGUCAGCAACCUCCUCUUCAUGACCCCACGUUGAAGCAACCAUGCUACCACAAGUCCUGUAAUGGCAUCGAUCCCAGCACGUUGACAGGCAAAAGAAUUCAUCCCUUGACUUCUUCUAACUACGAUCUUAUUUGGCCACUGUUUGCAGGCAUAACAAAGCAGAAACAUGGUGUGAACUGCUCCAGUGGAUGAAAGAGAACUGGCAGCACUUCAUCCUACGACGCAGCAGAUUACACUGUAUUAAAUAUGCAGUUGAUUUAGUCUUUCUUUCAACUGAAAAUAUAUGUACUGUCGAUCAGAAGGUGAUGGGAAUACUGUUUACAUGUCAUUUGCUGUCGAAUUAAAUAUGUAGAACAAGACACAUUUCAGUCUCCGAAUAAUUGUGAUGUGACGCCCUUUAAUACCCCUUUUGGUUUGACUUUUCUUUUUAGAAUCUUCUCACAGGAUCUAAAUAAUGAAUCACAAGAGAAUCUUAUCAUCGAGGAACUGCGUUUGUCGAAUUCAUCCCCACUAAUGGUAGGUGAGAUCAAUAGCAAUCCACAAUUACGAUAUGGGAAUUGGAGAGUAAGACCAUCAGUCAACACAUCAUGUGCAUGCUUAAAGCAACAUAAAGCGCGAGUUAGGGCUAAUCGAGAAACCUUUUUUCCAUGGGAAUGCCAUAACUAAGUUUUCUAUUAGGAAGACGAUGAAGGUUUAUUCCACGUACGGACUUCUGACUGCAUUCUUACGGCAAACAAUGGCAAAUCUCCAUUUAGUUUACGGAAACUUUUGACAGUCCUUUUGCGUGCAAAGCCAUUGUCCAUGAAGAACUGAAGAAUGAUAAUUUGAUAUUUCCAAAUGCCAACUAUCUGAACUCAUUGAUCUUAGGAGGAUUCAACUAAAUCCGGAUUGAAACUGGCACCAAAGAAGAAUAGGGAGGAGGAAUGGGUAAUUGCGCCAUAGUUUCUGUGAGACGAGGACCACCAGGCAACCAUUCAGGGAACAAGAAGAAUGGAACUGAUGUCCACGAGGGGAGUAUAAAAUGCUUCACGUCACCUUUUUCCGCGGACAUUCCAAAGCGAUGACCUUCCCUGUCGGCAGUCCUCCAUGCAAUGAAUAAAGAUCGAUCCCAUCAGCCAUUGUUGUGCUCCAUCUUCUUCCAUUCAUCCUAGUGUCUGACAACAAACUGGAUGUUCCAGUGACAGGACAGCAAUACACUGUUACUGUCAAAUCUCACUCAUGACAAGCACUGCCAUUCUCAAGUUGAGCUUUGUGUAGAUGCACAACUAGUGCUCCCUGUUGCUGCUAAUAUCUCAACAUCUGCGGCUCACAUCUCUGGAUUUUAUUGAAGAGGAUAUUAGAUGCUCUUUGUUAAAUGUCGUAGUUGCAAGUACAUAAAGAAAACACAUGAGCUUCAGAGAGGCUUGGCAAUGAACGGAUGAGAGCAGACGACGGAUGUGAAGCAAAAGGUGAUGGCAUUGCUGCCUGAUAGAGUCUCAUCAUCGAAUCACAAGAGAUUGUCAUCAUGGAGGAACCUCUUUGACUCUCCGCUUGCUCUAAUUACAUCUAAAUGAUAUGACAGGCAUAUCUGUCAUUAUCUAUAGACCUCUAAGAGAGUAGGAAACGCGAAUGAUUCCGCGGGACUGCUCACCUCACUUGUUGGACCAGAUGCAGAUGCAGAUGCAGUAGCCAACAAGCAAGCAUGUUACAGGGAUCUGAGAUGACCCAGAUGCUCCACUAGGAUUUCCAUGGAUUCACUUCUCGGUGGACUCUGAACUGAUUGCCCCAACCAGAGAAUGAGCAAACAGGCCGAUCCACUCUCUGACCUCCUAAAUGGCGAGUGGCCAUGACAAUUUGGUGCCGUUGGUUGUAAUUGAUAUGCCUUCAAGAACUAUAGGGCAAAUGAGUCGUUGACCAAGAAAACCUUGGAAACUCACAUAACCGUUCCUCUUUGUGUUAAUAUUCGCAUAUUCCAUAUAAUAAUGAUUCGUAUCUCACACCAUGAUGCUGACAUAAUCCCUCGGCCUCAACCUGUGCCUUAACACUCCGCUAAAUUCCUAAUUGGGCCUUCUAGUAGGUACAACAAUUGGCCAAUUAAGGGCCCGUAAUCUCGCUUCACUGUUGUACAUAGAUCGGGCUCAACAGGUAUGGGCCAAUAUGGCCCAUUAAUACCUAGUAAGAGAUUGGACUCGAUCCGUUCCUGCCCGCUUUGCCCCCGGCCGCUCGAAUUGGCCAACCGCACUUCACCGCCAUCCCCGACGGCGGAGUUAGCCGGCGGCCGCGUCGAGUAGAUCUUCGCCACUUCCCCCUCGCGGCGUCGCGUGGACUUCAGCUUGGUUCGUGAACCCUCACCUGUAGCGCCACCAACGGCGGAGGGGGAUUCUGUGUGCCGAUAGUUCGGUUUGGCUUGAUCGUGGAGCAGACGAAGGGCGGCGUGGCCACGAGGUUGGAGGAAGGGACGACGAAGAUGAACGCUUGGGCGGCGACGGUGAGUGGAUCCGUACUUUGUGGUUGAUUCUGUGUUUUGCGCCUUUGGUUCGGCCAAAUGGCAACCUCGUUGUCUGCCUUCUACUCUUUACGCGUCGAUGCUCGCCACUGGGGAUGGGCUUCUGUUGGUAUUUGAUGACAUCUACAGGGCACUUCAGGUAAUCUUGCGAGAAAUGUAGUGUGGAAUAUGAUUCUUAUGCUUGAUUUGAGCGAUCAGGAGUCCUAUCUAUGAGAAGUAUGUACAAGGAUAAGGUAAACAUGCAGUUUUUGUCUUGGAAAGAAGGAAAUCAGCGUAAGCUAUCUAGGGAUCAGGUGAUAUAUCGAGAAGGAGAAUAUGGAUGAAACUGAAUCUGAAAAGCAGUUAUAACAUGAGAAAAGGGAAAAAAAUUGUGAUCAUUGUUUGAGAGAUUACGGUACUGAAAAGGUCAGACUUUUCAGAAAGAUCAACAGAAGGGUAAAAAAAUAUUAGGUGGAGAAUCUCAACAGACAGUACUUCCAAAUGGUUUUGCUAGUUCUGAUUUGAGAUCUCUGCCAACAUCUUUGAUGAUCCAGAAAUUGAUUAGAAGAGUAAAAGAAAUGAGAAAGAGGUCGGCGAUGCAAGUCUGAGAUGACAGAGUAGACAUACUGUUAGGUUUAUUAUUUUGGUAUUUUGCUGCUUAAUCAAACAUGAAAACGUGCAUUCAAGCUUGAAAAUGAUUGAGUUUUAAACAACUCCCUUACACUUUAAAGUAUAACAUCUCAUUGAGUAUCUGAAUCUAGAAUAACCAGUUAUAUGAUUUGGAACUCAACAACAUUGGAUCCUAACAAUGUGCUUCUCCAAGUUUUAAGACACAAAAGGAAAACCAAAAUGGAUAUUAAAAAUCUACUAUCUUUUAAACUGUGAAUGUCAAAUCCAAUACUGAUUUGUCUGGGGAAAGUCUCAAGUGCACCUAGAUGUGAAUGGUUUCCUUGAACUACAUAUCAUGCACGAAAAAAUAGGGGAAAUUGAGUUUUUAAAAAUUGUGCUCUGACUCAUUUCUUAUAGAUUGUUAUGGUAUCAGUUGAUUAAUAUAGCACUGAUUUUUUCACGAGGAAUGUUUUACAAAAUCUAAUAUAACUUAUCAGAAUAAUGCAAAAGUAAAUCAUUAGUAGUGCAGAAUUAAAAUACUCAUGUAUAUUAUGUUCCUUGAAGACAUAUGGUGUGCAUGAUCAUUCUUAUGCCCACGACUCGUUAAACAGUUUGGUGCUGAUAUUUGUGUUGAUUCAAGAGAAUUGUUUGUGUAACAAGACAACUGUCAUUAGACUCAUAACUAUAGAAUACGUAAAUGCAACCUUGCUUUCCUGAACUGAUUUUUGAGUUUCUGCACUCAAGUCAUGAAAUCUUAAUUCAACUUUUCUGGGUUUUCGUGCAUAUAUAGGCGUCUAAAUUUAAUCCAUGACAAUGUAUCAGAAAAGGGUGACUGGUCACCCAGGUCACAAUUUAUUCACUAUAAAAAGGGUCAAUGUGCAUUGUUUCCAACAUGUUAUUCAUCAGGAUUGCAUGUUCCAACCAUGCUGGCUUUUGCUGGUUGGCACUGAUUUUGUCGGCAGUGGUAUCUGCAUGAUUUAUCACAAGAAUUUGCUGACACAACAAUAUAUUGGCAUAAUACUUAUGGCAGCCAGCAUGCCUCUGAUCUUGUCUGAGAUGCAUUGUGCCAGCACAUUACCCGCAAGGACGAAUCUAUUAUAUGUGUGGCUAAGGAGAGAAAGAUUAGCAGAGGACUUAAGCUUCAGAAGAACAUUUGCCCAAUUAUUAAGAUGACCAAGUGUCCUUUAACUCAUCUAAUCUGCAGACAAUCAUGAAAAUUUACUAUUUCGUUGAGCUUGUAGUAUCUUGCUGAGCUUUGCUAAGCCUGUCUUUUCCUAUAGCAUUAUGACUUUGCAUAUACGAGGAAUCUACGCGGCUAUAAGGAAUUGAUCAGUAUCCUAUAGCCAAUUUUCAGUGAAAAGACAUAGUUUUGUUAUUUUCUUUUGCAACAUCAUUAAGCUAUUUGACUUUUUUAGUCCUUCUAGUUGUUGUCUUCUCAAUAUUUAUUCUUGUGAAACUAGAUAGGAAUGAGAACUUAUUUUCUUUUUAAUUCAGAAUGGCUAGUAUGUAAACGGGAAACACAAAACUUGUGUUUCAUCUUCAUCUAAUUUCAUUCUCCCUUGGUCUCAUUCCAACUACUUGCACUAAGAUGAGAUUUGGAGAGUAUGACAAAGGUUGUUAAUGAUUGAUAUCUGUGGCACUACGUAUCCUAUAUGGAUUGCUGCACCACAACCUUGUCAUUUGGCUUCAUGAAAUUAGUCACUUCUAUCAUUUUGCUCUUUGGAAGCCUUUUUUCUUAUAUAAUUUUUAGUUGGAGGGAUCCAACUCAUAACAUUUAUGCUGGCUAUUCAACCACAGGAUGGUGAUGUAGUUGUUACUUCUACAGAUUUCUGAACAAAAAUUAUAUCAGUUGAUAAUCUAAAACAUACUAAUGCAGUGUGACACUCUUGCAAAUUUUAUUUUUCUUUUUAAAUGUCUCUUGCAAUAACAUAAUUGCACUUCAAAUUGUUAUUUUUUAAUGUGCAAUUAUGUUUUAACAGUGAGCAUAAGUGUUAUUUUUCUAAUUCUGUCUAUUAAAGUCUUUAUAGGUUUUAUUUCAGUUUAUUACCAUCCUACUACUAUUCAUUAUGGUUCACUACAGUAAAAUUUCAGUCUUGUUGAUUGAGUCUACUCUCUAUAAACAUGGGCAGCUGAAAACUUUUUUGUUCUUAAGUUAUUUUAGAUAUAUCUCUACUUAUUUAUAUACUGAUAGAACAGCCCUUUUAAAUAAAAAAAUAAAUGAAACUGUUAAGAUUCAAGUUGCUACAUGUAAAGAGAAAAAAAGCCACUGCCAUGUAUGAAAACUCAAACUGCAGCUUGCAGUUCCUUUCUAACUGCAGUAAAAUUCUUCCUAAUCUCUUCAAUCCUUUUUGUUGUCCUUCUGUAUGAUACAAGAGCUCAAAUUUGAUGAUGCUAUCUAUCUUCUUCAAUUAGACUGUACAAUUAUGCUCAUGAGGAUUGAUUAGACAAUGCCCAUUCUUUUUUCCUUAUCUUUUCUCUUUUUCUAUAUGAUAAAAGUAUAAUAAAGAACUUGUAUGACUUGAUAGAAGAUAAAUAAUUGCCAAUUGAACAUGUGGUGGUUCCUGUCUCGAUAUCAGGUAUUAGCUGAGUCAAAUCUCUGGAAUAAUUAGUCAUGGUUACUAGUCUCUUUAAAAGUAUCAAGCUAAAUUUACAAUUUCAACCUUCCCUUUGUGAUUAUUGAAAUUGUCAUGUUCUUUAUAAUAGAGAAUCUGCAGGGCUCUUUAUUUCACUUCAAUAAGUAACAAAUUACAGCCGAUCUGUACCAAACUUUCAUGCCAAAUCUGCAAUAUCUCAACAACUUCUACCUGCUUUCUUGCAGACUACUUUGUGUUCCCAUUCAGCUUUCCCAGACAAGUGUUACAUUAGAGACAUGUGAUUCCUACAUUGUACUAACUCCACCAAUGUCCAGGCUUGGAUAAUCUUUUAGGGGAUCUAACAACUUAGAAUUCACUGGCAUUAUAUGAUAUUUUCAAACAAAAGCCCAAAUGACUGCAGAUGACCAACCAACUCCACUUGAUGCAUCAGUACACAUCGUAGCAAGUGAUUAUUUUAAGUCAUUUAGGGUCUGCAUAUAGACUUCCAAACAAGACUAUCCCUUCCUAAGAAUUCCCCUCAGUAACUAUCAUCGGCAUGUUUAUGCUCUUUCUAAGAAUCUCAAGCUCUAAGAGGUAAUUUUGAACCUCCAGCUUGCUAAGCAUAGUUUUGAUCUUUUUUCACCAUGUCUGGAGCAUUUGGCAGAUAAAUUUGUUGUACAUCCUUUCCUGUUAUAUGCUAGUAUAGUCUUCCUAGCUUCUUCACUCACUAAAUAUUGCAAGAAAAAGAGAUGUUUCUUUAAGAACUAGUUUAUUUGUUUAGAUUUUGUUAUUAAGCUGAUCUGUUGCAGGUUCUAAGUAUGAGAGGUGAAGAUGAUGACGGUGUCGUGUUACAGCUGGUCUCUGGUACCCCAAACCUGUCAUUUGAGGUAAUAUUAUAAACAUAAGUAUAGACUCAGUAAGUUCAAUCCACCAUAUUUCUUGUCUAGAUGUUCCUUAUUUGAUGUUCACAGAAGACCUAAGUUGAUCUAUUUUAGUUUUGUAUACAACUUGUGAGUUCCCUUGUGUCUUGGUGACAUAUUUGUUUUUCCUAUGUUCAUUGUUUUCGGUGCCAAACUAUGCUAAGAAUCACUAUGCUUCUUGCCAAUCCUCCCCAUCCCACCUCCAUUCUUCCUUUUUUUUCCGUUCUGUUUCUUUUUUCUCUCCCACCCUCAUCUUGUUUCUUCUGCCCUCAUGGCUUCAAUUUCUUAUUCCUGCAGUGUUUACUAGUGUAGAAUGGCCUGUACCUCGAGACAUUUAAAAUUCAAUAUUUUGAUCAUAUGUUUCGUAUUCCGUGGAAAUUUUUUUUGUUCAUCAAAGCAAUCCCUGGUUACUUUUUCAUCCAUAUGUUUUAAUCACCCCUAGAUCUCAACCUGCACAAAAUACAUAUGCAAAUUGAAACAUUUGUAACUACAGAAAUAUCUUAUAUAUUUCAGCCUAGCACCAUUAGUAUGAUGACAAACAAUAUCUUAAGAAAGGGCUGAAGCAUAUAUAUGGUACAAAAUACUGCAUGACAAGUGUCAAUGCAGCAUUUUGGUCAGUAAGUAUCCAGAAUAACUAGUGUUUUAUUGUAGUGUACAAAUAAUAAUCUCUCUAGUGCAUCUUUGUCUUAUGAGGUCAGACCAUCAAAAGAAUUCAGUGCUCUUAUAUUAAUCGGUGUUAAAUAUCGAAGACAUUUCCAAAAAUAACCUGUCAGAAGCAAGUUCUCUCAAUCUGAUAUGUCAAAUAAUGGCCUAUGGGAAUUUGUUAAGACUUUGAUCAAACAAUCCUCACCCUUUUAGUUAACGCCAGAGCAAAUGCUAUUGAUUACCUGUUGCUUUUAUGUUCACAGGCUGCAAUACUUGCAUAUUCAGCAUUUAUCGAUAUCAUAGCUCUGAUCUCAUCAACUUUCAUGAACUUGGCAUGUGACACCUUGUGAUCGAUUUUCCCUUUGUUGUGUUUUUUUUUGCUUGUGGUUGUUGCGUCUACCUUUACUUCUGUGCAUGCAUGGCAGUUGCAAGUUUAUAGGAUUCUUCUGCUCAGGACCCAAUCUUUUGAUCUGACAUCUUAUACCACUUUUCUCCUUUGAUUAUGUGAGCCUGCAACCUCUUUCCUGUUUUGAUUGCAUGUGAACUUAUUCCUCAAGUGUGCAAUUGGUGCAUGGCAUUCCUGUCUGCCAGUUCAAGACUUCUAUGUCUCUGUGUAACACUCCUCGUUCAUCUUAUCACCAGGAGGUAAGUAAAGACGGAAGUAAUCUGCGCUUUCGAUUUAAUUGUUCAGCUGACAGCAAUGAGGGUCAAGGAAUGAAGCUCGUGAAAGAAGAUACAGGAGCAGGAAUGCGGUCGCUCUACUUCAAAGUCCUCGGCAUAAUGCCAAUGUCUGUUAUUGCUGCUUCUAUCCACCGCUCCUACCACCAACUUGAGACCCUCAAACUCGAGCCAGAGCACAAUGUGGCUUCAUAGCCAUGGCAGCUCGUCGGAGUCUGCACGUGCCCAUGGACUACUCCUGCAUAUAGCUCCAAACUAUACUCACGAUCGAUGCAUCCUAAUCUACCUCCAUUUCAACAGAAGCAUCAUCCAAUGCCCGUAUUACGUCCAUCCUCUUCUGUUUUUUUGUCAAGGUAGGUUGAUAAAUCGGUGCAAUAUCAAGCUUGAGUUAGGAUUGUGUGUGUGUUCUUUUGGGGAAUGUAUGGGAAGAAUUGUUAUUUGCCUGCUUGUACAUUGUGUUUGUGGUGGCUGUAGUGCGGUGGCUUCUCUUUCUGUUCUUGGACGGUGUAGAAAAAGUUAAUGCAAAUCUAUAUUUUGUGUACGAUAAUAUACUAAAUGGAUGCUGUUGGAAGUAUUGGUUGUAAUGUCUUGGGACAGCAUUGCAGUGCUUGUCAAGGAACGGGAAGGGAUUCACGUAGUUUGCAUGGUGGUGGGUGAAAAUUUUACUUUCGGGAUCGUUGACCGGUAAAGCCCUUUGACCUAAUACCUAUAAGCAACUUCCUAAGCAAAUCACGCGGAAGGCUAGAUUAAUAUCAUUUUAGCCAUUGUGAUUUUGAUCAUAGAUCAUUUAAAUCAUAUUUAUUCGUAUCUAAAAUAUUUUUUUAUAUUUUUAAAAAUAUAGUAUAUAAAUUUUUUCUAUCAAGUUUGAUUUAACAGACGUUAGAUUUUGUUUACGUGUAAUUAAAAUUUUAAAAAAAAUUAUUUUAAUCUUUAUGGUUUUUUUUAUCAUGAACAAGUACUUAUGAUUUUGUUCAUGUCUAAAAUAACUCUUAUAUUUUAAAAAAUAUAACAUAUAAGUCUCUUUUGUAAAGUCUAAGUUAAUAUAUAUUAAAAUUUAUUUACAUGAUAUACUGAUUUAUAAUAAAUUAUUAAUAUAAUAACACGUAUAAUUUAAAUUAUAAAAUUGAGAUCGUCAUCAAUGGUGAGAGGAGACGUCGUCGUGGAAGUGACCACGUUGUUGCUUAGCAGGGCGUCGUACGUAUGUAGCCUCUCUCAUGCUUACGAUAAGCUUAGGAACUUCUAGUCUUGCUUCAAGCAAAUGUGUGUCGACCAGUCUAACAUUAUGCAUGUAAUGGUCUCCUAGUCUCUCUUUCUCCUCCUGGGUAUCUUUGUCUCCACCGCCUCCCACUUCGUCAUCUCCUGCAUCCCCGCCAAUCGUGUCUACGACAUGGUGGUCUAGUUCUCCCUCACCUCCGCCUCCGGCCUCUCCUACCUAUAUCUCUCCGCCUUCGUUUACGGUUAUGAUCUCCGUCACUUCCUCUUCCUUAAUAAGAUAGAUUUUUUUAAAAACUUAAAUUAUAUAUAUCAUUAUACUAAUAAUUUAUUGUGAGUCAGCAUGCCACGUAAAUAGACUCUAAUGUCUAUCAACUUAGAUGUGACGGGAGGGGCUUAUAUGUUAUAUUUUUAAAAAUAUAUAGAUUAUAUUAGAUAUAAGCAAAACUAUAAGGACUUAAGUGAUCAAUGAUUAAAACUAUAGAGGCUAAAAUAUUUUUUUAACUUAAAUUAUACUUAUCAUUAUAUUAAUAGUUUAUUAUAAAUCAGCAACAUAAAUAAAUUCUAACAUCUAUUAACUCAGACUUGAUGGGAGGGACUUAUAUGCUAUGUUUUUUAAAAUAUAUGAAUUAUUUUUAGAUAUGAGUAAGCUAUAACGACUUAAUGGUGCAUGAUCAAAAUCAGAUAAGUUAAAAAAUGAACCUUAAUCCUAUAUGAAUUUGUUUAGCUUAGACUUUUUGGUACAACCGGUGUAUAUGAAUUUUCCCGAGAGAGUAUGUUAUCUCCUCUCUUUAAAAGUGAGGCCCUUCGAUCCGAUCUGUAUUGAUGAGAAUCUAAUGUACUACUAUGUACUACUGUAUAUGUUCUUUGGCUCAGAGGAUUUGGCCUAUCCCGGUACAGAACAAGGUCACACUAUACGCAUAGAAAAAUCAUGGUUAUUGGCGGCAACAUAGCCAUACACGGUGAAACUCUUGAAGUUGCUGUGAUUGUUUUAUUGUACCUUUCUGCUACUAAAAUUAUGGUGCAUUGCCUCACCAAUAGUGAAUCUUCUCGAGGCAGGGAUGAAGUAGUUGAGACUAAGAAUGGGUUGACGAGGGUGAUUUCGAGGUUAUCUCAAGAUGAAGCUAUAGUGAAUUCGAUCUUUGUUGGGACCUUAGCACAAUAGAUCGAUGUCGAAAGAAAUUCUUGAUCUGACCCAUCUUAUGCUUAAGUUAACUAAUGAGGAAUUGACUCUAUAUUUGGUGGGGGUUUUCUAAGACCAAUCUCCCUUUAGGUGUCGGAGAUAGAACCGCUCGUAUCUAUUAUGGCACAUUCGUGCGAGCAGCCGACCCGUAUAUGCCCCUGCUGCAUGGGUCAACCUGUCCAAGCUCCUGUGGCACGACAUCGAUCAGUACUGCCCCAUGCAGUGGGGGGCUAGUAAGGAUAGACGAGGAAGUGCCAACCGCUAAUAUAGUCCUCUCCCAUGUCAAAUAAAUGUCGUGCUAUCCUCAAUAUUAAUUGCUCGACGAUUGUUGACUGACGACUUAAUACUGAAAUAUUAUGUUCGUCCUACUUUUCAAAAACUUUGACAGAUACAAAACCCAAAUACCAUAUGUAUCAUAAGUACCUUCACUUAUGGAUUAUGAGAAUAAAAAUAUGAUUGAUAAUUAAAGAUUAUAAAUAAUAAAAUUAUAUUUUAUUAUUUUAAAAUAUUAAAGUAAUAAAAAAUUACAAUAGCAAAAUAGGGGUUGUCAAAAACAAACUUGUAAGCACUCUCUAUAGAACAGAUCUUUCAUCCCAAAAUAAUACACAAAGCAUUAGUACAUCGUGAAACAAAACCAACGUCACCAUUCAAAUUAUAAUCCAUGUCUUAUCCAAUAACUAAUGAAAUAGUACGAUGAAUACAUCGAAUCGAAUGAUCGGGGAAAAGACAUGGAACGAACUGACAAAAAAUCAUCAUAACAAAAAGAAGAGGUACUAAGAUUAUUUGCCCUUUAUGGACAAAUAAGAUUAGGACGGAUCCUUUUCCAGAGUAGAGUAGACCAUCAACCGAAACGAAUUGAAAUGACCCAUUCAGGAACAAGAAAAUUACCUAUAUUCGUGCAUGAUUUCUUGUUCCUCCCGACAGAAAAUACAAAGGUGUCCAUCAGACCUAAUCAGUCUAAGUCAGAAGACCAUCUAUCUCGAUUUUAUAUAAUAUUAUCUUAAUUUUAAAUAGGAUUAGAAGCUGUCAUAAGAACCAUCACAGAUCCGAGAAUCCAAAAAGCAUGAGAAAGGUCCUUAUGAUGUCGCUCAUUAAACCCAUCUUAGAUGCAAAAGGAGUAAUCAUACAUGCAUUACACAUUCCUACGGACAUGCAUGAGGCUCAACACCAGUAUUUUAAGCAUUGGAAGUGUGAAUACUCACACCUCGGUCAACGCUACCCACCCAAUCCCAUAACUCAAUUCAAUGUCAACGUUAUGCUGUUGUAUACACACAAGAAUCGUAUCAAACGUAAAACGCGGAGCACAAAGCAUCAAUCUAAUCGAGUGAAUGCUCAUGAAAGCACACAGUUGCUUUCUACCAUCUAAUCAUGCACAUAUCAUAUUACCACAUGGCAUCCAAACCACACCAAAAUAAAACAAAAAUAAAAUAAUAAAAACCAAAACCUAAUCUAGAGAGAGAGAGAGAGAAGGGGGGAGGGGGAGGGAAGAAGGGAAAUAAAAUACACUGCCCCAAAAAGAGUAGGGAAAACAAAAAUUAAAACGGGUGAUGGCUACGAGUAAUCCCAUUCACAUUGGCGAAGAGCCCAACCAAGUCCUUCUUGUACGGGAGGAACGACCGCCGGGCGGCGCCACUCCUCGUCGCCUGCCCGCCUUUCCCGUAAUAUAUCCUGUAGGCGGUGACUACAUCCACCUCGGUGCCCUUACCCGCCUUCCCUCUUGUCUUGGUCGCCCCCCCGUCUUUGCCCUUUCCUGCCUCGACCUUGGUUCCGCGGCUAGGGCUUUCCUUGCCCUUCUUCUCCGCCGCCGCGAGGAACACGAACUUCUCCUUCCCGUCGCUGUGGCUCCGCCCGAGCACCAGGUCCCGGAGCCGCCACCUCAGCGAGGACCCGGUGGAUCUGCUCUUCCGGCACCGAGACGGCGACGGCGUCGCCGACGACCUCGGUGCCCAUACGCAGUACGUCCCCGGGGGGAUGCCCUCGAGCUCCUCCGCCGCCGCGGACGAGGACGAGGAGGACAAGGCCGAGGCGGGAUUCUCCGCCCGCUCCUCGAUCAAGAGCCGCCGGAGUGUCCCCCGCAAGGCCGAGGUAUUCUCCUCCCCCUCCCCUGGCGCGGGCGCGUCACUGCUGCCGAGGCGGUCGUCGUCGAGGAGGGCGCGGUUGAAGACGGGGUAGAUGGGGCGGAUCCGGCCGUCGGCGAAGAUCUCGUCGGCGUACAUGGCGGCUCCGGUCUCCGGGUCCUUGAUAACGACGGCGAAUUCGAAGUCGUCGUCGUCGUCGUCGACGUCGACGUCGGAGUCAUCGUCCCCGCCGUCGUCCGGAGGCGGCGGUUCUUGCUGCGAGGACUCGCAAUGGACGGCAGAGAAGGCCUCCUCAAAGGUCACGCGGAAGCUGGGUGAAGCCGUGAUGAGCGGUACGUCUCCCUCUCCUCCUCCUUGCAUCGCUUCCGGUUCGUGUAUUGUCUCGUCUGCGAUCACUUCUUUUUCUUCUCCGAUGGGAUGAUCCGAUCAGAAGCUCACGGGCAGGGGUGGGGGGGGGGGGGGGUUGAUGGACGGAGAGACGGGGGUUGGCGGCGUUAAUAAAGGGGACGCGGUGGUUAGUGAGGUAAGCGUUGAGCUAAGCGGGCGGAGGCUUGGCUUGGAGGUUUUCGUGCGGGAGAAGCCACACGCGUCAACGGGAGGGGUAUACGGUUAGGCACGCGUGAGGGAGGGUUUGUUUCUGGAAAGACAACUGGCACUUAUGAGAAGGUGACGUCAUAGCUCUCGACAUUGGGGUCGUGGGAUGCGGAGGUGGAAUUCCACCUGCGGUUGGUGGAGACGGUUGGGGCCCAAGCUAGCUGGUAUCUCAUCUUCUGGACGCCCGGGGAAACCUGGAAUUAAUAAAUCCCUUAAAAAUCGUGCUUUAUUUUUAUGUGAAGCACAAUGGAUGAUGAAAGCAAUAAUACGAUGAUGACGUGUCAAGGUGGUGGCGUGCUUCACGACAGGAGGGAAUAAAUGAUGUUAUGCCCGUCCCAAUCCCAAUUAAUUUCGGAAAUUACUGGGACAAACACACGAUGAGUUUGGUUUGAAAUUGUCAUUCAUAAAUGUGAGUGCAUAUGAUAAACGAGUGAAGGUGCAAUGUAUAAUAUGGGUGGACGAGAGGGUAACGUGUUGUUAAGAGUAAGUCAAAGUUAUGUUCGUUACAGCAUUGAGGAACGGGGAUUUCUUAGGCCGGUUGUUUAAGAUUAUAAGAGUCAAAUUCUACGCCGAACGUAGAUUAACUUUCUCUGGCUUUCUAACGUGGAGCUCUACCGAUCGCCCUAUCGGUGUUCGGUAUCGCUAUUUGCCAAAGGUUGAUGUCGUCUCCAAAGCACAGGGGGGAAUCUGGACUCGGAAGACUUCCACGAAAGAGGUUACGAUGACGCACCUGAAUAAAGUUGAUGCUUGGUGGUGAAGUGAGUCGUGGUCCAAAUCCGAUGGAAGUGCUGGGUUCGGGACUGGAAUCGCGACCGAACACGCAUGUGGACGUACCCAUGAAGUGGAAACCAGAACGAUGGAGAGAGUGAUAUGAUGCCGACGUAUCACAUGGAGUGUCGUGCAGCGGGCGAACCGCAGCGUCGAGCGUGGGGUACUAUUCCCACUUCCGGAGACACUCGGUGGCAAUUGUCCUUGGGAAUGAAUCUUAUCCGGAUGAAGAAUGCGUAAUGAUUUGAGCUAAUUUGAUUUGAGCAUUGUUAUAUUCAAUUAGAUAGUAACGAAUGGUGUCUGAUUUCACUUAGUAUUGGAGAUGUGGAAGAAUCGAAGUUGUGGAAAGCUACCCGUUGAUGGCAUAUUAAGAUGUAUAUCUACCAUUAAUUGAUCAUUUUAUGUUAUAUUGAUUUAACUUUAUAUAGAUUCGAUGAAUAUGUAAUCGUUAAUUUAUAUUGAUACGCGAGCAUAGUAAAUAGAUACUAUGAUAGUACAUCAUGUCCAUUUGAUCAUCGAUAUGUCAAUCGAAUCAUAGUCUCUCAAAGUCGACACUAUGAUGCUGAUAGGAUUUUGAUAAUCCUAAGCUCAAAACAAGUCAUGACCUUAUGAUUUUAGUUGGAUGAUUCAUCGUAUGAUCUCAUAAUUCAUUGAUAGUCGAACAAUUUAUAUAAUUAUUCUUAAUAUUUAUCUUAAUCUUGACUUAAUACUCACUCUAACAUGCUAUACAAGGAGUCCCUAAGGACUUUUUUUUAACUUUCUUGUAUUUUAUUUUUGAAUCUCCUACUAAUUUAAAUAUUAGAGCGAUUUUUGUUGAAUGUAUCCCCGAUAUAAUUCAUGAGGAUUGUUAUUUGAAUAUCAGGUCCCUAAAUACCUAAGAUGAUCUCGAAAAUGAAACCCAUUUGGCUUUGAACUCUUUCUCCAUAUAUUAUAUUAUAGACAACUGGAAUUUAACAUAACUGAGGCUAACUUAUAAAGAUUUGAUUAGUAUAUACUCAUUAAUUUAUAUGAUUCUAGAUUUAUUAAUUAGUGAGUCAAUUCCUCUAUUAAAUCGAAUCACGACAACAUUGAAGUUUAUAUUAAGCACCUUAAUUUAACGGUGGUCGACUUUUUUACUAUGGCGAUGAUAAGUUCUACAAAGAUAGAAGACGUUUUUAUCGGAGCUCAAAAGAUGGGAAAGGUAAAAAUCCAUCCAAAAGCUCAAGAGAUAGGAUAGAAAAAGAAGUGGGUGAAGGGAAUGAUAACGACAAGAUGAAUCGAUUGGAAUUUGGUAUGCGUAUUCUAGUCAUUUCAUAGAGUCGGAUUUGACAUGGAUUGGUGUCAUGCUAUUCAUGUGUAUCCUAUGCAUGUCACUUGAAGUGUCUCUCGCAAGAAAGAGGUUGAUCGGAGAGUAUGGAAGCGGAACAUGUUAUGAGCCACCGAAGUCUUCGCCCACACCCCCGAAGAGUUGUCGUCAUGUUGCCAGCAUUAGGCAUUCCGUCUUCUGGAAGGUCUCCGUUUCCCUUUACCCAAUUGGGAGCGUUGUUGGGUUGGAUUCUGUCGGAUACCAACACCACCUAACAUAAUGGAUCUGAUUUAAUGGAUCCGGUAAGGGCCUUUCAUAGUAAGUAAGACACGAGGCAAUUGCAUCUGAGGAUGUGGUUAAAGAUUGAAAACGGUUACAAACUUUAUUCGAUCAUAAACAUGAUCAUGAUCGUGCAACGUCGAACUUAGAAGACAUGAGGUAAUGAUUGCCUAAGUCAGCCUUUUUUUUUUGUGACGUGAUCGAUUUUGAAGGGUUGAGUCAGCCUCCCAAUUUGUGCAAUGCAAUGACCACACUAAUCGAACGAGGCUGAGGUGUCAACCCAAUAUUCAUAAUCCUCUUAUCACCAAUCAAACUAAUAUUCAUAAUUAAAUUAGACUCGAGUCAUCAUUAUUAUGUGAGAGGAUAAAAGAAUUUGGGAAGAAGAACUAAAACAAUAAGAAUGAUCUCUAUGUGGUUAAAACUAAAUGUUUAAUAUAAUUUUAUAAAUUAUUAGUCUAACCCAUUUUGACAACUAUAAAAAUAAUAUAAUAAUAUAAAUUAUAGUUUAAAAUAUCUUAUAAAUAAUAAAUUAUUUAUUACAAUUCAUAUUCCAGUCAUUUUGGUAAUAACUACUCAGGUAAAACUUAGAGAUAUAAGUUAUAAAUAAUAUUCACUAAUUUUUUAUCAAUCUAAUUUAUAUAUAAAUAAUUUAAUAAAUAAAAUAAUAAUUAUUAAACAUUAAUCAACAUAAAAAAAAAUUAUGAUGGCUAUAAUCAUGAUAAAACAUAAAUCAUACCUUUAUAUAAAAAAAUAAAAUAUUAUUUAAUAAUUUUAAAUAUAUACAUAUGAAGAACUACACAAAUAUCGAAAAAAUUUAAAAUUUAAAUAUCAUAAGUAAAUUUUUUACCAAUAUAUCAUAUGAUAAAACUAUGAAAGAAAAAUAUAAUUUAUGAUUUUUUAUUUAAUAAAUAACCUAAAUGAGAGAAUUAGUCUUAUUUAAGUAAACAUUUCAUAAUUGAGUCAAAAUUAAGCUAUCCAGAUUAGACCCAACAACCAAUCUAAUUAAAUGAAUCAUAAUUAGGUUUAGUCAAAAAUCCAAUUUAGAAACAAAUUGAUCAAAGAUUGGAUUAAAAUUAGGCUUCAAUCAAAAUUUGAUUAAAGCAUGUCAAAUUGGUCAAUUUUAUAGUUGAAGACCUAAGUCAAAAAUACUUAAUUUUGAAAGGAUAAAAUUAUACUUUUGUUAAGAUAUAUAUUGAAUAUAUCUAAUUUCUGAACCUUAGAAGUGUCAAGGUCAAUUUCGAUUGAAAUUAAAAAAUAUAGAAGGGUAAAAUAGUCUUUUAAUAGGUGAAGAAAGGCCUACUGUCACCACGGUGGGUAGUCAUCCGUUGCCUAUGCAUCGUCAACCCGAACUCCCCUCGCAACCAACUAGCGAUCCCUUUUCGUAGUGCCCAUAUCCGCGAAUGACAAGCGAACCCUAACGGUUGCUGUGCAAUCGUUGAGCAACCUACAUUGGUGGCUACUCAAUGGCUGAUGACUUGGCACAGGUACUAGCGACGCAUUGGAGAAAUAUUGCAUCGAUCAUUAUGCUACGCGCUUGAGCCGCUUUGAACCGUGGCCACCACGUAGUGAUCUCCUCAAUGCGAUGACUAUGCUAAUGAUGUAGCACUGCAAGUGGAUUGCCACUGCCAUCCGCAACAAUCGAAAAAAGCCACCAUCGCGCAUUGUUGUGAAGCACAACCACCUAGAUUGCCCAACCAGAGCCGCACACAAGCAUCUUCCCAUGACAUCUCCAUCACACGAUCAUUGUGCGAACCUUCAUCCGUUCAAUCGUGGGCUGCAAACUUGUUUUAUGGUCGCUUACCUCUCUGUGUAUGGCGAUCGUCAGCUCAAAAAGCAUCUUGGCAUUUGUCCGUCCUCUAGUCUAGCGUUGUAUGUAGCAAUGUUGACGUCUGCAUAGUUACUGCCUACGGUUGGGCCGACGACCACAGUUGUUAGCCACCCUUCGUAAUGUCGUCAUUGAUAACAAAUUUCAAUGACAACUAAUCGAUUAAACAUGGAUAGCAUAUUGUCCCGACUCUACCUACAUAAGACAAAAAAUCUUACAUCACCCAUAAGUAGGCGAAAAGACGAAUGAGAUAGAAAAAUAAAUUGAUAACAGAAACGAUUGUUCAAUCAUCAUACAAAUAAAAUCGAAUAACAUUUUUUCACAAGUGAAGGGUUAUUAACAAAUAGUUCUAAAUACAAAAUAGAUAUAAUAUACUUUUAUAAUAUAAUAUAUUUAAUUUUAAAAUAAUAAAUUUGGAUACCAAUUAUAAAGAUAAAAACUAUAAAUAAGAUAUUGUUAUUGCUAAUCAUAGGUGUCCUGCAAGCCAAUCACGUAAGUUAUGGUACGUGUGACAUAAUAUAUACUAUUUUUAUUUAUUAUAUUAUUUAAUAUUUUAUUAUUAUUNNNNNNNNNNNNNNNNNNNNUAUAUAUAUAUAUAUAUAUAUAUAUAUAUAUAUAUAUAUAUAUAUAUAUAUAUAUAUAUAUAUAUAUAGUGAUGUCCAUGGAUCUAUACAAUGAGAAUCAGAUCGUGAUGAGAUCACAAUAACGAGACCGAUUCGUCUUUAAACACAUAUCCUAAAUAAUCUCGAUCAUAGGUUACUCGAUAGGGAUAUCGAGAUAAUCGGACAUAUUAGUAUAUUGUAUACCCGUCCAUAUGAUGGAAGUGACUGGUCUCAUAGCUGCUCGUGUGGGGACAUUAUGAACAUAGUACAUGUGCUCAUUGGAAAAUGAAUUAAUUGGAAUGCUAAGUCUGGUAUCGAAGAGUAGAGUCUAUUUAUAUUAAUCGAGAACUUCCAGACUAAUUCAAUAGGAAUUAAUCGAGAUUGAAAAAACAUCUAGUAUAUUAUCAUAUAAGAGAUAGUGUCUAUUUAUAAAUAACUGCAACAACAGAUAAUAUAGAAUAAAUAAUAAAAAAAAUCACUUUUAUCAAAAUUAUCUCCUGAUUUUUUUUUCUAUUAAUUAAUAACUACAAUCAAGAUAUCUAUAACAUAUUUUAUCUAAUUAAAUUGAACCACAUAAUAACAUUUAUAUCUAACCUAACAUAUGCAGAUCAAGAGAUGCAAUCUAGAAGACUAAAAAAAAAGUCACUAGAGACAAUUACAAGCAAAUCGAGCAAUUAUCACCGUGUCAGCACUAAGGAGAACAAUUAAACGUGCUUAAGGAGACACAACUUGAAUUCCAUUAAAUAAAAAAAAAAGUUCCAAGGAUCGAUUGCUAAGGUCGAAAAUUUUGAACAGAGCAGUGGAGGAAAAGCGUAAAUUGCGCAAAGCCAGCCAUCGAAUACUUGGCGUCCUCUGUUUCGAACCCGAGCUCACACGACGGAGAUCUUCGCCCCGACUUCCUCCAGCUGCUUCUUGGCCUCCUCCGCCUCCUCCUUCGACACGCCCUCCUUGAACUUCUUCGGCAGGCCCUCGAUCAGGUCCUUGGCCUCCUUGAGCGCCAGGUUGGUCAGCGCCCGGACCACCUUGAUGGUGGCGAUCCUGGCGUUGCUCGGGACAUCCUCGAUGACCACGUCGAACUCGGUCUUCUCCUCGACCGCGGCGGGGGCACUGCUCGCCGCGUCGGCGGCGGCUCCCGGGGCGACGGCCACCGCGGCGGGGGCGAAGGCGGCGGCCGAGACGCCGAGGCGGUCCUGGAGGUGGUCGACGAGGCCGCGGGCUUCCUCGAGGGUGAGGUUGCAUAUGAGGUUGCCGACCUCCUCGACCUUGGGGGAGACGGCCGCGGGCGGGCGGAGGAAGGCGGCGCGGCGGUGGGAGCGGAGGGACAAGGGUUGGGAAGGGAACUUGAGUGCCGGGGAGGGGGCGGCAGAGGAGUUGGUGGAGUAGGAGGAGACGAGGAAGAGCGCGGAGGUGAGAGUGGCCGCCAUUUUCCUCUUCUUUCUCCUCGCUUGUGCCUCGAGCGGAAUGGGAUGAGAAAGGCG